Molecule: non-coding RNA, 26 nt
Filed under: Mus musculus (house mouse)
Lineage: Eukaryota; Metazoa; Chordata; Mammalia; Rodentia; Muridae
Source: RNAcentral
AAGAAGAAUCACUGCAGCAGAAAGAG